GAUGAACGCUGGCGGCGUGCCUAAUACAUGCAAGUCGAGCGAAGCGGGGACGGGUGCGUAACACGUGGAUAACCUCCUAUAAGACUGGGAUAACUUCGGGAAACCGGAGCUAAACCGGAUACUCAUGUAUGGAUCCGCGCUGCAUUAGCUAGGUGGUAAGGUAACGGCUUACCAAGGCAACGAUGAAUAGACUACCUGAGAGGGUGAUCGGCCACACUGGAACUGAGACACGGUCCAGACUCGUACGGGAGGCAGCAGUAGGGAAUCUUCCGCAAUGGGCGAAAGCCUGACGGAGCAACGCCGAGUGAGUGAUGAAGGUCUUCGGAUCGUAAAACUCUGUUAUUAGGGAAGCGGUACCUAAGCAGAAAGCCACGGCUAACUACGUGCCAGCAGCCGCGGUAAUUC
This 405-nucleotide ribosomal RNA is filed under the name uncultured bacterium. RNAcentral's name for it is "partial 16S ribosomal RNA". It matches the Rfam family "Bacterial small subunit ribosomal RNA", at positions 28 to 526 of the family's 1533-position model. The record is from RNAcentral.